GGUGGAGUUCUCCUUCUCCCAGUACGCUGAUGGGAUGAGCGUCCGGAGGGCCAUCCAGCAGCUGAGCUACAAGGGUGGCAACACACGGACCGGUGCCGGCUUCCGCUACGUUGCUGACAACUUUUUCAGCCCCACACAGCUCCGGCCUGGGGUCCCCCAGGUAUGUGCAGGGCAGUGGCCUUGGGGAUACCCCAGGGGGGAUGUGGCCCUGUGCUGGGUCUCACAGCUCUUGCCCAAUGCCGCAGAUCUGCAUCCUCAUCACGGAUGGCAAGUCCCAGGAUGAUGCCGAGGGCGCAGCAGCAAAGCUGAAGAACCAGGGCAUCAAGAUCUUUGCCGUAGGUGAGCAAGGCUUCAGCACCAGAUGAGGGGCUCUCCUGGUGGGUUCAGGGUCCCUGUCCUCACCCAUCAUCUCCAUCCCUGCCAGGGAUCAAGAAUGCUGACCACAAGGAGCUGAUCCGCGUGGCCUCAAUGCCCACCGAUGCCUUCUUCUUCUACGUUGGUGACUUCAAGCUGCUAGGAACACUGGUGCCACUGAUGACACGCAGGGUGUGCACAAGUGUUGGAGGCACCCUGCGCCGGCUGGAUGGGCCAAGCCACACUGGCCCCUCCAACCUGGAGAUCCUGGAGCGGGGCCUCGACCAGCUGCGGAUCCGCUGGACGGCGGCCAGCGGCCCCGUCACCGGCUACCGGGUGCAGCGUGUGCCGCUGACGGGGCUGGGGCAGCCGGUCGUGGCCGAGAGGCAGGAGGUGAGCGCUCCCACCCACCUGCUCAGAGUCCCCGGGGGUCCUCGGUGGCCCCCUGUGUGUCCUGGGUAUGGUGAGGGGGUGACACUGUCCCUGCCCAGGUGAGCCUGGGGCCGCGGGAGACGAGCACGGUGCUGCGGGGGCUGCGCAUGGGGACGGAGUACCUGGUCACCGUCACCGCCCAGUACGCCAACAGCAUCGGCGAGUCGGUGUCCGGCCGGGCACGCACCCAGAGCCGUGCCGGCUCCGUGCUGGAUUUCCGUGUGGUGGAGACUGGACCGACCUUCCUACGGCUCGCCUGGCAGCCCGGCCCCGAGCCCCCCCAGGGCUACGGCCUCAGCUACGCCGUGAAAGGAGCAGCCCAAGAGGAGGAGAAGACCCUGGGGGCCAGCGCGCAGUCGGCCACGCUGAGCAACCUGCGCCCCGACACCGAGUACGUGGUGAUGCUCCGGCCCCGCUACGCGCAGCAGCCCAGUGUCCCCGCCACCCUCACUGCCCGGACACGACGCCUGCUGGGUGUGCAGCAUUUGGUUGUCCACAAUGUCUCGGCGCAGAGCAUGCUGCUGGCCUGGCAGCCUGUCAGUGGUGCCACCGGCUACCGGCUCUCCUGGGCAACCCUCGCAGGGCAGGACAGGCACAGGGUGGACCUGGAUGCCAGGCAGACAUCACAUGCGCUGGGGGGGCUGCAGCCCAACACUGACUACGUGGUGACGGUAGCCCCGCUCUUCGGGCAGCUGGAGGGGCCCACAGCCACCGUGAGGCAGAGGACAGAAGCGGGUCUGGAGCAGACACUGAGGACCAACAUCCUGGGCCCCACGUCCAUCCAGGUGCUCUGGACUGGCGCUCGCGAUGCCCGCGGCUACCGCCUGGAAUGGAAGAGAGCCACAGGACCAGAGCCCCCCAGGACAGUGUCGCUCCCCAGCAGUGCCAACACCUACCAGCUGACAGGGCUGCAGCCGGGCACCGAGUACCGCAUCACCCUCUACACGGUCUAUGAUGGUGGGGAGGUGGCCACCCCCGUCACCACCUUCCAGACAGGCGUGGAGGUGCCCGUGGGUGCCGUAUCGGACCUGAGGCUCAUUGAGGAGUCGGGCAGGCGAGUGCGGCUGGGCUGGACCGGCGUCCCCGGUGCCACCGAGUACAAAGUGGUGGUGCGCAACAGCCAAGAUGGCACGGAGAGGACAAGGCGCAUCCCGGGAAGCCAGACGGGGCUGGAGCUGGGUGACCUCCGGGAGGGCAUCGCCUACCUGGUGCGUGUCUCGGCACUAGUGGGUGGCCGGGAGGGCAGUCCUGCCACGCUGACCGUCCGCCUCAAGUACCCAGCGGUGGGCAGCAUCUCAGAGCUGCGGGUGACGGAGGCUGGUCCCAGCCAGCUGAGGGUUUCCUGGCGAGGGCUGCCGGGCGCCGGGGGCUACCUGCUGACCUGGCGAGGCAGCGAUGGUGUGGAGCAAUCCCGUUUCCUCCCUGCCGACCCCACCACCUUCACCAUCGAGGGGCUGCGUGCCAACAUUGUCUACACCGUCAGCGUCUCGGCCAUUGUGGAUGGCCGUGAGGGCAGCCCUGUCACUGCCACAGGACGGAUAGCCCCUGAGCAGGUGGGGAUGGUGUCCCAGCUGGAGGUACAGGCAUCCAAGAGCAACGUUGCCCGUGUCACCUGGGUCGGUGUGCCAGGAGCCACUGCCUACCGUGUGGUGUGGAGCCGCAGGGACGGGGGCUCGGAGAACAGCCGGCGGGUUCCUGGCAACACCAGCUCCUUCGACAUCCCCGACCUGGAGGGAGGUGUCUCCUACACCGUGAAGGUGACAGCGCUCAUCGGCAACCGGGAGGGCAACCCUGUCUCCAUCAUCGUCACCACCCCGGAGGCAGCCCCACUGCCCCCCGUCAGCAACUUCCAGGUGACGGAGGCCUCAGAGCACCGCCUGCGCCUGGCCUGGGUACCGGCGGCCGGCAGCGCCGGGUACCGCCUGGUCUGGCGCCUGGCUGAGGGGGGCCCCCAGCGCAGCCAGCAGCUCCCGGCCACUGCCAGCUCCUACGACCUGGGGGGGCUGGAGCCAGGACGGCGCUACCACAUCAGCAUCACCAGCCUGGCCAGCGGCCGGGAGAGCCAGCCGGCCACUGUCACUGCCAUCACUGCAGCUGCCCCGGCCCGUGUCACCAGCCUGCAGGUGACAGAUAUACGGAGAGACUCGGUGACACUCACCUGGACCCCUAUCCCUGGUGCCUCUGGCUACAUCCUCUCCUGGAGUCCCCCAGCAGGUGAGAUGGGUGGGUGGCCCCAGGACAUGGAACAGUGUCCUGGCGGGUGCUUGCCAUCCCCCCUGACUCUGUCCCCUGGGUGUCAGCCGGUGGGGAGACGAGGCGGACGCUGCCUGGUGCUGCCAGCUCCCAGCAAGUCUCCGGGCUGCGCCUGGGCCAGCGCUACACCUUCACCCUCCGCCCGCUCCUGGGGAGCACACCGGGCGCUGAGACCUCCGUCAGCGAGCGCACAGUCUGCAGGGAUGCCCGCGGUGACAUCGUCUUCCUGGUGCACGGCACACGCGACAGCUCCUCCGGUGCUGAUGCCAUCCGCACCCUCCUCUCCAACACCGUGUCUGCCUUGGGGCGCCUGGGCCCUGAGGGCACCCAGGUGGCUCUGGCCACGUACAGCUACCGCAGCCUGCCCUGGCUGCUCCUCAACCGCUCCAGUGACCUGCCCACCGUGCUGGAGCAGAUCCGCACCAUACGCUAUGAGGAACCCAGCGGCAACGCCAUCGGUGAGGGGCGGCACUGGGAGCCAGGGUAGUGGCUGGUGGGAUCCUGCUGACCAUCUGCCUCGUCCUUCUCCCUCCCUAGGGGCAGCCAUCACCUUUGCCAGGACCUACUUAUUGAGCCCUGGCGCGGGGCGCCGACCCGGUGUGCCAGCAGUGCUGGUGGUCCUGGCUGAUGGACCCUCGGGGGAUGAUGCCAUCACUGCAGCCAGGGAUAUCAAGGCUGGGGGUGAGGAUGGAUGGGGUCCCAGCAGGGUGUGCAGAGGGUUCUGCUGGGUACUGAGGGUGCUCUUGGCUCAGGGGUCCAGGUGCUGGCUGUGA
Molecule: long non-coding RNA, 3812 nt
Filed under: Calidris pugnax (ruff)
Lineage: Eukaryota; Metazoa; Chordata; Aves; Charadriiformes; Scolopacidae
Description: lncRNA (ENSCPUG00000016948.1)
Source: RNAcentral